GACGGAGGAUGCAAGUGUUAUCCGGAAUCACUGGGCGUAAAGCGUCUGUAGGUGGUCAAGUAAGUCAACUGUUAAAUCUUGAGGCUCAACCUCAAAAUCGCAGUCGAAACUAUUAGACUAGAGUAUAGUAGGGGUAAAGGGAAUUUCCAGUGGAGCGGUGAAAUGCGUAGAGAUUGGAAAGAACACCGAUGGCGAAGGCACUUUACUGGGCUAUUACUAACACUCAGAGACGAAAGCUAGGGUAGCAAAUGGG
This 253-nucleotide ribosomal RNA is filed under the name uncultured bacterium. Its description in RNAcentral is "partial 16S ribosomal RNA". It matches the Rfam family "Bacterial small subunit ribosomal RNA", at positions 524 to 776 of the family's 1533-position model. The record is from RNAcentral.